CGUGGGGAACCGUGCCCCAUAGUCUGGGAUACCACUUGGAAACAGGUGCUAAUACCGGAUAAGAAAGCGGAUCGCAUGAUCAGCUUUUAAAAGGCGGCGUAAGCUGUCGCUAUGGGAUGGCCCCGCGGUGCAUUAGCUAGUUGGUAAGGUAAAGGCUUACCAAGGCGAUGAUGCAUAGCCGAGUUGAGAGACUGAUCGGCCACAUUGGGACUGAGACACGGCCCAAACUCCUACGGGAGGCAGCAGCC
Molecule: ribosomal RNA, 248 nt
Filed under: uncultured Lactobacillus sp.
Lineage: Bacteria; Bacillati; Bacillota; Bacilli; Lactobacillales; Lactobacillaceae
Description: partial 16S ribosomal RNA
Rfam family: Bacterial small subunit ribosomal RNA
Source: RNAcentral